CCUACGGGGGGCUGCAGUGGGGAAUAUUGGACAAUGGGCGAAAGCCUGAUCCAGCCAUGCCGCGUGUGUGAAGAAGGCCUUCGGGUUGUAAAGCACUUUCAGUGGGGAAGAAAGCCUUGGGGCUAAUACCCUCGAGGAAGGACAUCACCCACAGAAGAAGCACCGGCUAACUCCGUGCCAGCAGCCGCGGUAAUACGGAGGGUGCGCGCGUUAAUCGGAAUUACUGGGCGUAAAGCGCGCGUAGGCGGUCUGAUAAGCCGGUUGUGAAAGCCCCGGGCUCAACCUGGGAACGGCAUCCGGAACUGUCAGGCUAGAGGGCAGGAGAGGAAGGUAGAAUUCCCGGUGUAGCGGUGAAAUGCGUAGAGAUCGGGAGGAAUACCAGGGGCGAAGGCGGCCUUCUGGACUGACACUGACGCUGAGGUGCGAAAGCGUGGGUAGCAAACAGGAUUAGAUACCCCAGUAGUC
Molecule: ribosomal RNA, 465 nt
Filed under: Vreelandella stevensii
Lineage: Bacteria; Pseudomonadati; Pseudomonadota; Gammaproteobacteria; Oceanospirillales; Halomonadaceae
Description: partial 16S ribosomal RNA
Rfam family: Bacterial small subunit ribosomal RNA
Source: RNAcentral